GAUGAACGCUGGCGGCGUGCCUAAUACAUGCAAGUCGAGCGAAGCGGGGACGGGUGAGUAACACGUGGAUAACCUCCUCUAAGACUGGGAUAACUUCGGGAAACCGGAGCUAAACCGGAUACGUAACGAUGGUUCGGCGUGGCAUUAGCUAGUUGGUAAGGUAACGGCUUACCAAGGCUACGAUGCAUAGCCGACCUGAGAGGGUGAUCGGCCACACUGGAACUGAGACACGGUCCAGACUCCUACGGGAGGCAGCAGUAGGGAAUCUUCCGCAAUGGGCGAAAGCCUGACGCAGCAACGCCGCGUGAGUGAUGAAGGUCUUCGGAUCGUAAAACUCUGUUAUUAGGGAAGCGGUACCUAAACAGAAAGCAACGGCUAACUACGUGCCAGCAGCCGCGGUAAUAC
Molecule: ribosomal RNA, 405 nt
Filed under: uncultured bacterium
Lineage: Bacteria
Description: partial 16S ribosomal RNA
Rfam family: Bacterial small subunit ribosomal RNA
Source: RNAcentral